Molecule: ribosomal RNA, 545 nt
Filed under: uncultured eubacterium Hbr-K9
Lineage: Bacteria
Description: bacterial SSU rRNA
Rfam family: Bacterial small subunit ribosomal RNA
Source: RNAcentral
GGAGCAGCAGUGGGGAAUAUUGCACAAUGGGCGCAAGCCUGAUGCAGCGACGCCGCGUGAGGGAUGACGGCCUUCGGGUUGUAAACCUCUUUCGACACUGACGAAGCUCUCUUUUCGGGGGGUGACGGUAGGUGUAGAAGAAGCACCGGCUAACUACGUGCCAGCAGCCGCGGUAAUACGUAGGGUGCAAGCGUUGUCCGGAAUUAUUGGGCGUAAAGAGCUCGUAGGCGGUUUGUCGCGUCGGCCGUGAAAUCCAUACGCUUAACGUGUGGCGUGCGGUCGAUACGGGCAGACUUGAGUUCGGUAGGGGAGACUGGAAUUCCUGGUGUAGCGGUGGAAUGCGCAGAUAUCAGGAGGAACACCGGUGGCGAAGGCGGGUCUCUGGGCCGAUACUGACGCUGAGGAGCGAAAGCGUGGGGAGCGAACAGGAUUAGAUACCCUGGUAGUCCACGCUGUAAACGUUGGGCGCUAGGUGUGGGGCGCAUUCCACGUGCUCCGUGCCGUACGUAACGCAUUAAGCGCCCCGCCUGGGGAGUACGGCCGCA